This 361-nucleotide long non-coding RNA is filed under the name Parus major (Great Tit). Its description in RNAcentral is "lncRNA (ENSPMJG00000019988.1)". The record is from RNAcentral. Lineage: Eukaryota; Metazoa; Chordata; Aves; Passeriformes; Paridae.
AAGUUAAUACUGUUCAUGUUAUUAAUGUUAUCAUUUGUUCUGGUACUUAGUGAUGUUCAGAAAGUCAGUAGCUGGAGUGAAUAAAGGUUGGAAAGGUCUCUGUGGUUCAUCCAGCCCUGUACUCCCUGCUCCGUGGAUCCAACCCUCCUGCUAAGCUAAGCUUUGUGGGAGAAAGGAAGGCAGAAUCUCACCCCUACAGAACAGCAGAACAGUUUCCAGGCUGAACUCUCUAACAUACACAAUCUCCUCUGUGCUUCUGCAGACACAGACCCACCAGCCCUGUGAGAAGAUGAGUGUGUUUACCAUGUUGAAGAAAUCAGCAGUAGAUUUAGUGGAGUGCCUUUGGGCAGGUAAAGCCAGC